UGCCUUACACAUGCAAGUCGAACGGCAGCGCGGGAGCAAUCCUGGCGGCGAGUGGCGAACGGGUGAGUAAUAUAUCGGAACGUGCCCAGUAGUGGGGGAUAGCCCGGCGAAAGCCGGAUUAAUACCGCAUACGACCUACGGGUGAAAGGGGGGGAUCGCGAGACCUCUCGCUAUUGGAGCGGCCGAUAUCAGAUUAGGUAGUUGGUGGGGUAAAGGCCUACCAAGCCUGCGAUCCUGUAGUUGGUCUGAGAGGACGACCAGCCACACUGGGACUGAGACACGGCCCAGACUCCUACGGGAGGCAGCAGUGGGGAAUUUUGGACAAUGGGCGCAAGCCUGAUCCAGCAAUGCCGCGUGCAGGAAGAAGGCCUUCGGGUUGUAAACUGC
RNAcentral lists this ribosomal RNA (387 nucleotides) under uncultured organism. RNAcentral's name for it is "bacterial SSU rRNA". It matches the Rfam family "Bacterial small subunit ribosomal RNA", at positions 45 to 433 of the family's 1533-position model. The record is from RNAcentral.